AGGGAUUGUCCUGACAACUUGUGGGGAUAGAAGGGCUCACAGGGCAGGGGUCUCAGCUGCCCCCAUCCUUAGGGCAGGGGAGUUAGUGUGGAGCCGAGAGCAGGUCCCAGCUCCCCCUGCCAGCCGCACUGUCCCAGGCCCAGGGACCUCUGCCGGGUCCUCCCAGCCCUUGCCACACAGCCUAGACGUAGUAGCCUGGGCUUCCAGCAGGUGGCGAGCUGGUUCGUGCUGGAAAUUUCUCCUGGGUUUCUUGGGGUCAAACAUGCCAACCUCCAAGACCCCAUCCUCACGUCUCCCACUUUUCUGGCGCUGGAGUGUGCAGGGCGUAGGACCUGCAUGUGUGGGUGUGAGAAUGGGGGCGGUGGACACCAGGGGGCGAGUGUGUGACUAGGUGUGUGUGCACAUGUGUAGGGUGCAGACGCAUGGGUGCCAUCCUUUGCGUUCAGUGACUGUGCGUCCAGACCCCUCACCAGCGGCCCCCCCACCACACCCUGGUCCUCCCAGGCAGCUGUCCCAGGGCGCCCAGGCCUGCCUUGCACCACAGCCCUCAGGAAAUCCGGCAAGGAGGCCCCUGCAGGUUGGUUCAGGCCCCCAGGUAGCAAAACAGAGACAACAGCAGCCCCGCCUGACCCCCUGCCCCUCUCUGUGGAGGCCCGGGACCCCCGCAAUAAGCACCACAUGGGUGAGGCUGUCCCUGUCAGGGUCCCCUGCCAGGGUCCCUCCUGGGGUUCUGGGCCAUUUGAGGGGCUCUUUGAUGGGCCAGGCCGGCCAGAGUGAACUCCGAGCACUUUCUGGCUGGUGCCCCAACCUCUCCACUCCCCACUCAUUCCCACCUUGAAAAAGGGCUAUAGGUCCCCUGCCCUGCCCGGGUCCAGUUUACAAACAGUGUGGGGUGGCCCCAGGGCCUGGCCCCACUCUCCCUGCUGUGCCCACUCCUCUCCAGACUCCACCUCCCCAGUGGGUAUGGGCCCUCCACAUGCCAGGUAAGUAGCAAACCCCCACUCCCUCCAAGGACCAGGUCUCAGAGAAGGCCCUGGUCACUGCCCCCGGCCCACCUGGAGCCCAUCGGGGCUGCCUCUCCCAGCCGCGACUUCUCCUUUUGCCUUAGGCCUCGCGACAUCCUGAUCUCUCCUGCAAUAACUAGGAAUCGAGAUUCCACAGUAGACGUCCCUUGCCGUGCUCGCUCUCUCUCUCGCGCGCGCUCUCUCUCUCCCUCUCUCUCUCUCUCUCUCUCUCUCUCUCUCUCUCUCUCUCUCUCUCUCCUCUCUUUCUCUCUCUCCCUCUCUCUGUUAAGAUCCUGUUCGGGAGUUUCCCCAGCCGUUGUAGUAUCUAGUAUGUUAGAGUUGGGAGGGGACCAUAGUUAUGUAGCCCAGCCCCCUCAUUCCCAGAGGCACCCAGAGGGCCAGCCUCCAGCCUGACCCCAGAGCAGAACCGGAACACCAGGUUGGGGCCCUGGUGCUGCCACCUCCUCUGCUGGUCGGGCUGGGACCCUUUGCCCCUUAGGAGAGGUGUUGGUCACAGAUGUUUACCUCAGUUUAUGUCACUGUCGAAGAAACAAAAAAUAAUAGCAAAAAAUAACACUGUAGACAUGAAGACUUAGAAGACAAAAAAAAAAAAAUCACACAAAAAAUCUCCCUUGUUGCGAUUCUUCUGUGAAGGUACAGUGUGUAUGUGUGUAUGUGUGUAUGUGUGUGCGUGUCUCUGUCCCAGACCCUGUGUCCCCCACACUGCCCCCUGUCCUUCGGUGCUUCCCAGAGACCCCUCUGAGCUGGCCUGUGGGGCACGGGAAGCCCCCUGGAUGGGAGGCGGGGCCACAGGUCGGCUAGAGGGUCUCCACCAGGCCCACUGAACAGAACCCCACGGCUGCCAGAAUGUUCCCUGAGCCCACACUGUGGCCAGUGGGACAGUCCUGGUGGCUGACAUCAGCGUCCAUGCUUGGCUCAGGGCCUGGGGCGGGGUCCUGGGUAGAGUCCUAGCCCCAGAGCCCCAGCCCCUCAUGUCUUGCCGCCCUUCCUCCAUGUGUUUGUAAAUACUCUGGCAUCCUUUGGCCCUGAGAAGGUUUUUAAAUGUGUUAUUUACUUCUCUAAACAUGACGAUUGCUAUAAAAAUAAACAAAAGUUUAGAAAAAUGA
Molecule: long non-coding RNA, 2131 nt
Filed under: Homo sapiens (human)
Lineage: Eukaryota; Metazoa; Chordata; Mammalia; Primates; Hominidae
Description: non-protein coding lnc-SBK1-1:1
Source: RNAcentral